GCGCGUGGAUGAGAGAGUAGGGGAGGUAACACAGUCCGAUAUAUCUAGUUGGUAAGGUAAUGGCUUACCAAGGCUAUGAUCUAUAGCUGGUCUGAGAGGACGAUCAGCCACACUGGAACUGAGAUACGGUCCAGACUCCUACGGGAGGCAGCAGUGGGGAAUAUUGGACAAUGGGCGAAAGCUUGAUCCAGCUAUGCCGCGUGAGUGAAGAAGGCCUUCGGGUUGUAAAACUCUUUCAAUAGGGAAGAUAAUGACGGUACAAAUAUAU
Molecule: ribosomal RNA, 268 nt
Filed under: uncultured Ehrlichia sp.
Lineage: Bacteria; Pseudomonadati; Pseudomonadota; Alphaproteobacteria; Rickettsiales; Anaplasmataceae
Description: partial 16S ribosomal RNA
Rfam family: Bacterial small subunit ribosomal RNA
Source: RNAcentral